Molecule: ribosomal RNA, 270 nt
Filed under: uncultured Pseudomonas sp.
Lineage: Bacteria; Pseudomonadati; Pseudomonadota; Gammaproteobacteria; Pseudomonadales; Pseudomonadaceae
Description: partial 16S ribosomal RNA
Rfam family: Bacterial small subunit ribosomal RNA
Source: RNAcentral
AGUUACCAGCACGUUAUGGUGGGCACUCUAAGGAGACUGCCGGUGACAAACCGGAGGAAGGUGGGGAUGACGUCAAGUCAUCAUGGCCCUUACGGCCUGGGCUACACACGUGCUACAAUGGUCGGUACAAAGGGUUGCCAAGCCGCGAGGUGGAGCUAAUCCCAUAAAACCGAUCGUAGUCCGGAUCGCAGUCUGCAACUCGACUGCGUGAAGUCGGAAUCGCUAGUAAUCGUGGAUCAGAAUGUCACGGUGAAUACGUUCCCGGGCCUU